CCGAUUACAGGCUCUUGAUUGACGACAUUGGCAAACCAGAUGAGCAGAAUAACACUAUUAGUUUGUAGCCACAGAGACACUCAAGGUUUCUCGCACAUCACACACAUUUUUCUCAAGAGUCUGAGUCUUCCAGGCAUGCUUCCACCUGAAUUUGCCGACCUUACAUUUCUCCAAACUAUUGAUCUCACCCGAACUGUUUCAAUGGGACUCUUCCAAAAGAAUGGCUUCAUUGCAGCAAUUGAAUACCAUCUCACUUACUGCCAAUCGCUUAACGGGGGAAAUUCCACGGGAAUGGGGGAACUUUGCUAAUCUCACUUACUUGAGCCUGGAGGCCAACCAGUUGUCCGGAACUAUCCCUGAGGAGCUUGGAAAUUUGCAAC
Pistacia vera is the source of this 380-nucleotide long non-coding RNA. RefSeq lists it as uncharacterized. The transcript is spliced from 5 exons. The record is from RefSeq and is a predicted model, not a curated record. NCBI's taxonomy places the organism in Eukaryota, Viridiplantae, Streptophyta, Magnoliopsida, Sapindales, Anacardiaceae.